UACGGAGGGUGCGAGCGUUAAUCGGAAUUACUGGGCGUAAAGGGCACGCAGGCGGUCUUUUAAGUCAGAUGUGAAAGCCCCGGGCUUAACCUGGGAAUUGCAUUUGAUACUGGGAGACUAGAGUACUGUAGGGGGGGGUAGAAUUCCAUGUGUAGCGGUGAAAUGCGUAGAGAUGUGGAGGAAUACCGAAGGCGAAGGCAGCCCCCUGGACAAGGACUGACGCUCAGGUGCGAAAGCGUGGGGAGCAAACAGG
This 253-nucleotide ribosomal RNA is filed under the name uncultured bacterium. RNAcentral describes it as "partial 16S ribosomal RNA". It matches the Rfam family "Bacterial small subunit ribosomal RNA", at positions 524 to 776 of the family's 1533-position model. The record is from RNAcentral.